AUUGAACGCUGGCGGCAGGCCUAACACAUGCAAGUCGAGCGGAUGAAGGAAGCUUGCGCCUGGCUUAAGCUGCCGACGGGUGGGUAAUGCAUAGGAAUCUGCCUGGUCGUGGGGGAUAACGUCCGGAAACGGGCGCUAAUACCGCAUACGUCCAGAGUGAGAACGGGAGGGAUCUUCGGACCUCACGCUAUCAGAUGAGCCUAGGUCGGAUUAGCUAGUUGGUGGGGUAAAGGCCUAACAAGGCGACGAUCCGUAACUGGUCUGAGAGGAUGAUCAGUCACACUGGAACUGAGACACGGUCCAGACUCCUACGGGAGGCAGCAGUGGGGAAUAUUGGACAAUGGGCGAAAGCCUGAUCCAGCCAUGCCGCGUGUGUGAAGAAGGUCUUCGGAUUGUAAAGCACUUUAAGUUGGGAGGAAGGGAAGUAAGUUAAUACCUUGCUGUUUUGACGUUACCAACAGAAUAAGCACCGGCUAACUUCGUG
This 484-nucleotide ribosomal RNA is filed under the name uncultured bacterium. RNAcentral describes it as "partial 16S ribosomal RNA". It matches the Rfam family "Bacterial small subunit ribosomal RNA", at positions 30 to 507 of the family's 1533-position model. The record is from RNAcentral.